ACGAACGCUGGCGGCGCGCCUAACACCUGCAAGUCGCACGAGCGAGAGAGAGCUUGCUUUCUUGAGCGAGUGGCGAACGGGUGAGUAACGCGUGAGGAACCUGCCUCAAAGAGGGGGACAACAGUUGGAAACGACUGCUAAUACCGCAUAAGCCCACGGUGCCGCAUGGCACAGAGGGAAAAGGAGCAAUCCGCUUUGAGAUGGCCUCGCGUCCGAUUAGCUAGUUGGUGAGGUAACGGCCCACCAAGGCGACGAUCGGUAGCCGGACUGAGAGGUUGAACGGCCACAUUGGGACUGAGACACGGCCCAGACUCCUACGGGAGGCAGCAGUGGGGAAUAUUGCACAAUGGGGGAAACCCUGAUGCAGCGACGCCGCGUGGAGGAAGAAGGUCUUCGGAUUGUAAACUCCUGUUGUUGGGGAAGAUAAUGACGGUACCCAACAAGGAAGUGACGGCUAACUACGUG
RNAcentral lists this ribosomal RNA (465 nucleotides) under uncultured bacterium. RNAcentral's name for it is "partial 16S ribosomal RNA". It matches the Rfam family "Bacterial small subunit ribosomal RNA", at positions 29 to 507 of the family's 1533-position model. The record is from RNAcentral.